UACAGAGGGGGCAAGCGUUGUUCGGAAUUACUGGGCGUAAAGGGCGCGUAGGCGGCCUGUUAAGUCGGACGUGAAAUCCCUGGGCUCAACCCAGGAACUGCGUCCGAUACUGGCAGGCUUGAAUCCGGGAGAGGGAUGCGGAAUUCCAGGUGUAGCGGUGAAAUGCGUAGAUAUCUGGAGGAACACCGGUGGCGAAGGCGACAUCCUGGACCGGCAUUGACGCUGAGGCGCGAAAGCCAGGGGAGCAAACGGG
Molecule: ribosomal RNA, 253 nt
Filed under: uncultured bacterium
Lineage: Bacteria
Description: partial 16S ribosomal RNA
Rfam family: Bacterial small subunit ribosomal RNA
Source: RNAcentral